This 1842-nucleotide long non-coding RNA is filed under the name Homo sapiens (human). RNAcentral's name for it is "non-protein coding lnc-GALNTL5-2:6". Lineage: Eukaryota; Metazoa; Chordata; Mammalia; Primates; Hominidae. The record is from RNAcentral.
AAUCCUGGAAUACUCCAUGUGCUUUUUCAUGCAGCGGGAGUGGAAUUUUCAGGAAGCAGCUGUGCUGUGGGUGACGGUCAUACUUUAUUCUCUAAAACUCUCCAGUUUCAAUUGGCCUCUUGGUGCCAAAGCACCAUGGCGUGUUACACCUAUCAGAUCGGGCACACUGCCCCUUCUUCCCAACCUACGAGCUGAAAUGGCCAGCACUGCGCCUUCCAGAACCCAGCGUAGAUGCACAGCUGCCACGGAGGUAGGAAGAAUGAUUCGUUUGCCACCAAAAGCCCAGUUUCUCCAACAGGUGAAUCCCUAGGCCAGCCCGGCCCCUUCCCACACACCCCUACCCCGAGACGGGUGCAGAAUCAGCAGCGGGGAUCAUCCAGAGACUCUCGCAGUCCACGGCAGGUGUCGGAGUGGGCCUCAUUCCAGAGUUGUGGUGGCCGCUCCACCUGGCGAGCUUCGAGGGGACUCCGGCAGGCGCUCGCUGUGGGGUCCUCCCACCAGUCUUCUCAGCACAGGAACGGUGCCUUCACAUUGGUCUUCCGGGGCUUAAAAGCAUAUCAUUCCUGCUUGCUCUUCAGAUGCAAACUCCCCCUCCAAGGAUACCUCCAGGUUCCCUGCCAGCUCACUUGACUCACAUGGCAAUGGUCACCGGGCUGCCUGAGCCCAAAUCAAGCACCGUUUAUUAGGGGGAAGCUCCGUUAUCCAGAAAGCUCAUCUUUGAAGAGCUACCCAUUUCCUGCCAAAGUUGUGGCGGGAAGGCCUUAGGUACUAGAAAACCUUGGGGAAUGGCAAUUAAAGGAUUAUCAUUCUUACUUAUUUGUUUGGAUAAGCAGCAAUCACCCUUCGGAUGCUUAUUGGUGAGAAUAUUUCUAAAAGUGUCCUGCACAUUUCCCUGCUUUGAUGAAUGGAACGGCAGGGCAGGAUUUAACUGUCUGAUGGCUACGGUUUUGGGAAAGUGCCAGAACCUCCACGUCAGCCACCCCAGAGCCACAGGCAGGGUAUGAGCCACAGCAAUGGGCCCCAAGAAAGAGCCCCACACCCACCAUGGUCCACGGAAGACGCUGCUUACUGGCCCCGGGUUACCUGGAGUCAUGUGCAUUCUCCUUACAUCAAGUGAAGAUAAUAUUUUGUUUCCUUCCCACUUUUUCUCUAACACAAGCCACCCCAGUUCUCCCUUCUGACAACAGGCAAGUGGACCCUAGUAGACCUUCCAGAAAAGCCUUAGAGAGCACCCCCAAAUGCUCACAUUUGUCAGCUGUAAUUCCACCCUCAGUUAAAACCUGAUUCUCAAUGUGACUUGGCCAACGCAGCUUGCAAAGCAAGAACGUCUUCAUCUAAGGUUGAAAACAUCAGUUGUUUGGGUUGUGAGAAAAGAAAAGCCCACAAGGUUUCCGAGGCUUGGUGCUGUUUCUCACUGUCCUCAGCUCCUGAUUCUGCAGCUGGUUCUCUCUCCAAGCACUAGCAAAACCCUGCCCUAGGAGCCCCCAGACUCUGAGAGCCCAUGACCAAAAAGAAAAGGAAAGCCAAGUUGGGGAAGAACAGGGGCCCCCAACUCCACAGCCCUCCACUCUGCCCAGAGGGCCCACCCUGGGCUGCCUGGAACCCCCUAAAGUUGCCACCCCCGCAACACAGUAGUGGGGCAGUUCCUGGCAGCGCCUGCAGCCCAUGGGCUGGCUCUGUACCCGCAGCCCCGCCAAGCGUCUGUUAUCUUAUUUACUGGAAUCUGCACAGCCAGGCUCUAGCUCACCGGUGACUAAGGAGCUGCAGCCAUUAUUACCAGGCAGAUGGCAGACUCCCUAAAAGCAGACAUUAAACAAUAAAAUGCCACCACAUACCUUGCCC